GAAGAGCAGAAGGCAGGACUGAGUGA
RNAcentral lists this non-coding RNA (26 nucleotides) under Cricetulus griseus (Chinese hamster). Lineage: Eukaryota; Metazoa; Chordata; Mammalia; Rodentia; Cricetidae. The record is from RNAcentral.